UACGAAGGGAGCGAGCGUUGUUCGGAAUCACUGGGCUUAAAGCGUACGUAGGCGGAUUUACAAGUCAGGAGUGAAAUCCCAGGGCUUAACCCUGGAAUUGCUUUUGAAACUGUGAGUCUGGAAUCCGGUAGAGGUUGGCGGAACUCCGAGUGUAGAGGUGAAAUUCGCAGAUAUUCGGAAGAACACCAGUGGCGAAGGCGGCCAACUGGACCGGUAUUGACGCUGAGGUACGAAAGCGUGGGUAGCAAACAGG
This 253-nucleotide ribosomal RNA is filed under the name uncultured bacterium. RNAcentral describes it as "partial 16S ribosomal RNA". It matches the Rfam family "Bacterial small subunit ribosomal RNA", at positions 524 to 776 of the family's 1533-position model. The record is from RNAcentral.